This 383-nucleotide ribosomal RNA is filed under the name uncultured bacterium. RNAcentral's name for it is "bacterial SSU rRNA". It matches the Rfam family "Bacterial small subunit ribosomal RNA", at positions 28 to 404 of the family's 1533-position model. The record is from RNAcentral.
GAUGAACGCUAGCGGCAGGCUUAAUACAUGCAAGUCGAGGGGCAGCAGCUUUGUAGCAAUACAGGGGCUGGCGACCGGCAAACGGGUGCGGAACACGUACGCAACCUUCCUUUAACUGGAAGAUAGCCCACCGAAAGGUGGAUUAAAUACUCCAUAACAUAUUGAAGAGGCAUCUCUUUGAUAUUAAAGCUCCGGCGGUUAAAGAUGGGCGUGCGUCUGAUUAGGUAGUUGGCGGGGUAACGCCCACCAAGCCUUCGAUCAGUAGCUGAUGUGAGAGCAUGAUCAGCCACACGGGCACUGAGACACGGGCCCGACUCCUACGGGAGGCAGCAGUAAGGAAUAUUGGUCAAUGGGCGGAAGCCUGAACCAGCCAUGCCGCGUGC